AAAGCCUUAAGUUAAGUUAAACUAAAAGCCUUCAAAGCUUUUUAUGGGGUGUUAGCCUCAGGCUUUG
Molecule: transfer RNA, 67 nt
Filed under: Tegula lividomaculata
Lineage: Eukaryota; Metazoa; Mollusca; Gastropoda; Trochida; Tegulidae
Description: tRNA-Trp
Source: RNAcentral